Long non-coding RNA from Calidris pygmaea (Spoon-billed sandpiper), 1552 nucleotides. NCBI's taxonomy places the organism in Eukaryota, Metazoa, Chordata, Aves, Charadriiformes, Scolopacidae. The record is from Ensembl.
GGGACUAGCAAACACAUGUCUCAGCAGGGAGGGCUGGGAGCAGGCAACCACACCUCCACACCAGCCCCACAUGAACCAGCUGCGUGAAAGGUCCUGGCUUGGCUCACUCGAGAGGUGGGACUGGGGCUCGGGCUGGUAGAGCAGCCAGCUGAGCACCACUUACACAGGAAGAUGAAGCAGGUGCCAUGCAGGUGAGGGGAGAUCUGGCAAUGCAGAGAGAAUACCCUCUCAAGGUGACUUCAGAGGUAUCCGGAAAGCAGCUGGUGGGAAGCGGAAGGCACCGAGCUGCUGAUGCCAUCGCACCCCAGCAGGCGAGGAAGAGCUGGGAAAACAAAAAACUUCCCCUUGCAGGGUGCUUUCCUCCCUCUAACAAGAUGCUAGGGCAAUGCUUUGAGGUCCUGGAGGCUAGACGGCAUUUGGGAUGCAGGAGCACUUCUUAAAAGCAUAUCUGGAGGGUGUCUGGGCUCCUGGCAGAAAGUGGGAAGUGUCCGGGAGUCCGUUUUUCGGAAUUGCUCUCCAAUGGCGCCAGUCUGCCUGUUUGCAACAUUUCACCCAGUUUUGCAAAUCUGACAGCCCUCUGGCCAGCGUUACGUGUUCUGCCACAAAGUUUUGCGAAACAUCCUCUGUCUCUUAUCGAAACAACAACAGGGUAGAGUUCUGCUUGUGGUAAAAGUUCACAACAUUGAACCAGAAAAAAAAAAGAAAAAAAAAAAAAGACAUUUUUGGGACAGAUCAUCACCCAACUUUUUAAUGAAGCUGCACUAAUUUGCACCGCAUGAGGAUAUUGUGCCUUGAUAGUAAUGCCGUUCUGCAGACUUCCCUGGUCCAGUACAGUGCUGACUUUCGGGAGAUGUCCCCCCUCACCAGACUCUGAUGGACUGAAGAGCUAAUGAUUUCCAUUCUGUCUUGCUGUGGCCAUCAGGGCGCUGCUGCAUUCCUAAUGACUAGCCAACUCUUAAUGGCUCAGCCUGAGCUCUCCUCCUUACAGACCUCCCUGUGGUUUUUUUUUAACCAUCUCUCAACUGCGAGACUGAUUUCUUCAACAUGUGUUUGCACACAUUGUCAGAUGUCCCCCUAAACAUUGGUUGACAUAAAUGUGAACACGGUAAGCUGUAAACACCCAUGUCCCAGUUUCCUUUCCCCCUUGAUCUUAGCGGGAUCUGAGUUUCACUUCCAGUAGAAGUCAUGGUGAGAGGUGAAGAAAGGAGAAGACAACAGAGGUGAAGCUUGGCUGUUAUUCAUAGGGACAGCUCACAUGUGAGUUACGCACCAUCAGUGACAAAAUGUGCUCUUGAGACCAAUAUGCCGACUCCUUUAUCAUUCAACAAUUCUGACCUUCCUCGUUUUCCCCCUCCCACCCUGACCCCAUGCUGUGAUUUAUGUCUUUGCUCCAUUGCGUCAAUCUAUUUUUUGAGACAGGUUUGUACAGCUGAAACAGUUUAUUACAACCAGGAUUUAAUCUUCACCUUGUGUUUACAAAGUUCUCCUGAAAAAUAAUAAUAAUAAUAAUCAUGCUAAUAAACUUCAUAGCAAUUGGAAGGAUGUAGAGUUA